This is a long non-coding RNA of Zea mays, 2349 nucleotides long. RefSeq lists it as uncharacterized. NCBI's taxonomy places the organism in Eukaryota, Viridiplantae, Streptophyta, Magnoliopsida, Poales, Poaceae. The transcript is spliced from 3 exons. The record is from RefSeq and is a predicted model, not a curated record.
AUCUCUACUAAUCCUUAAGGGUGGACGGAGGGCGUCCACCACGGCUCCGUGCCCCCGCCCGCGAUUUUUUUUUGCCUCCGUGCGCGUCUUCCUCGCUCCCGCGAAUCACACCCCGCGCGUGUCGCCCUCGCCGCCGAUUCCGUGCGCGCCCCCGCCCCGUCAUAGGCGUCUCUUCCCCGCCCGUGUGAUGCCCGUCGUAGUCCCCCGCCCCUCAGUCCAUAUCUACCGGUGCGGCAUGGAGCCCAAGCUGUCUUCGGUCGGCGUUCGCGACCUCCGCCGUGUCGUCAUGCCCACCCCCGUCCUCGUCAUCCUGCUCGACGCCCGCCACGACCUCCACUGCGUCAUCAUCCCCACGCCCGUCCGGACCCCUAUCGCCAGCAUCGCAGCGCCUCCCGCACGAGGUCGCUGCGCUUGUCGAUCUGAUGGCGGCCCCCAUGGCAAAGGAGCAGGUCAGUCCCGUCCCCUAGCCUUUCCCGACUCCUCCCCCGUCUCCCCCUCCAAGCAAGCACCCGCUCCAGAUCUCCAACUCGUGUGUCGAUUCCCAGUGAGCGAGACCCCUCGCGUGUGCAACUGCAGGAGAUGGACGAUGAAGCGUUGGAUCAAGGAGAUGGAGGAGGUGGCCGCCACGGCCACCAAUUCCAGGUCGAUUAUGCCCUCUAGGGCCAUCCACAAGGGCAAGCCGUUGUCGGUGUCCUUGGCAUCGAGAAGAAGUCCACCCCUAAGCUCUAGAACUCCAGGUCAGCACCUGCACCUCCCCCUCCCUUCCUUCCACCAGAUUCUAGAUCUCUUGAUCCUGACACCAGUUUUCUUGGAUCUAUUGGCGAGUUCAUUGACUCUUGAUCAUCAGAACAUGGUUGCAAGAAUAUCUCUUCUGUGAUUAUGCGCUGAUGGCUCUACUCCUUGGCUACUAUUUCUAUUGUUUUUCUAUUUGCUAGGACCCCUUCUAUUGUUGGAAUUAUAUCGAGGAAGGUUUCCAGAGCGAAGCAUAGAUGUAGCUGGAGUUUUGUUCUCAUCAUUUUCAGCCCAAAAACUACCCGGUGGACUCAACCCUGCUUGGUAUGCCACAGUUGCAGCGAAAGUCACAAGCACCAGAGUGAACUUGCGAGCUUCCUCUAGAUCUUUCUCGUGAGAGCUGUUCUUUUGGCUCCUGUGAACACCACACCUGGAUAGGAUCCAACGCUCCACAGACCGCGCCACAUCUUUCAGCCGUUUUGGAACAAAUUUUUUCUCGGACACAAAUCUUGGAACAACUCUCAUGAACACUAGGAUGUGGAUCAUAAUAUAUGUGAAAACAGAGAGCACCAGAACCCAGAUGUGAAGCAAUGGACCUGGAGACAUGUUCUUUUAAGCCUUGAGCGUGUAUGCAUUCGUGUACUUCUUUUUAAUGGAAUUUGCUGUCUUAUUUCACAUUAUGGUUUAAUUCAUUAAUAAAUAUGUUCAGAGUGUUUGUGCAGAGACACAAUUUUUUUGGGUUUCAGAUGGUGGACAUACUGUACAUGUUAUGUCCGCAGUUGAGACUGAAUCCCCUAACGGUGAUAAUGGAGACGUUACUGGAGAAAGAGAGUUAGCACCUAUCAAGCUUUCAGCUAUUGAAGCAAUCUUUACAAGCGAAAGAGUUGAGGACAUUGUAUCUAUCUCCAAGGAUUCAGUUCUUAUCCUUGGUCAAGGUGAGAGGAGUUUGUGACACAUAUUCUAGACUGCCAGACAUGUUGUGGUCAUCUAGAUAGUUUUGAAAUUUUCCUAACAUGAUAUGAUGUCCCAGGCAACAUGUUUCUGUAUGGAACUUCUUGAAUUUGGUUCUUCAUCAUGCAUGGUAAGUAUAAUCAAAUCACUGUUUUUGCGUGUUACUAACAACAAUUGCUUCAGCAUACGCCCUUGAGUUUCAUUUGAUACCAGGUGGAUAGCUCACUGUUCUUUAGGGCAUGGUUCAAGACUUUGCAGCUUUGGAUGGUCUUUUGGCUAAAGACAGGAUGAGUUUUGGUGAUUUUGAAGAUGAACUUAUCCACCUGGAGACCUGGAGACAUGUUCUUAACAAUCACUUGCUUUGAGGUUCCAUUUGGAUACCCAUGACUAGAUCCAGUUUAAUAUUAUUGUAUAUCUUUUGUUCUAGCUAUUUCUAUUGUUUUUCUUUCUAUCCAUACAUUAUCAAUUUGAUGAUCCUGACGAUGCCCCUGAGGUGCACAUGCAUGAUCUCGCAACAGGUGCAGAAAAUGACGCCCAAUUACUGCCCUCAAGGUGUUGUUAGACUUAGUGGGUCACUACGCGAACAAUCAGUGUAGUUCUAAUCUGAACAUUUUAGUUUCAUGUAAUUGUUAUGCUCUAACAUUUUUUAAUAAAUAAUGUGUCGUU